CAGCAGUAAGGAAUAUUGGUCAAUGGGUGAAAGCCUGAACCAGCCAUCCAGCGUGCAGGAAGAAGGCCCUAUGGGUUGUAAACUGCUUUUGUCAGGGAAGAAACCUUGGGAUUUACUCCUGAGCUGACGGUACCUGAAGAAUAAGCACCGGCUAACUCCGUGCCAGCAGCCGCGGUAAUACGGAGGGUGCGAGCGUUAUCCGGAAUUACUGGGUUUAAAGGGUGCGUAGGCGGCCAGGUAAGUCAGGAGUGAAAGUUUGCGGCUCAACCGUAAAAUUGCUUUUGAUACUGCCAGGCUAGAAUUAGGAUGAGGUCAGCGGAAUGUGGCAUGUAGCGGUGAAAUGCAUAGAUAUGCCAUAGAACACCAAUUGCGAAGGCAGCUGGCUAGACCUGGAUUGACGCUGAGGCACGAAAGCGUGGGGAGCGAACAGGAUUAGAUACCCUGGUAGUCCACGCCCUAAACGAUGCUUACUCGACGUAUGUCGCUAGACGAUGUGCGUCCAAGGGAAACCGUUAAGUAAGCCACCUGGGGAGUACGACCGCAAGGUUGAAACUCAAAGGAAUUG
RNAcentral lists this ribosomal RNA (565 nucleotides) under uncultured Bacteroidota bacterium. Its description in RNAcentral is "bacterial SSU rRNA". It matches the Rfam family "Bacterial small subunit ribosomal RNA", at positions 349 to 912 of the family's 1533-position model. The record is from RNAcentral. Lineage: Bacteria; Pseudomonadati; Bacteroidota.